ACACGGGAAAACUCACCCGGCCCGGACACCGUAAGGAUUGACAGAUUGAGAGCUCUUUCUUGAUUCGGUGGUUGGUGGUGCAUGGCCGUUCUUAGUUGGUGGAGCGAUUUGUCUGGUUUAUUCCGAUAACGAACGAGACUCUGGCCUACUAAAUAGAGACGGAAUUAUUACUGUUCCGGAUUCUUCUUAGAGGGACAAGUGGUUUUCAGCCACACGAAAUUGAGCAAUAACAGGUCUGUGAUGCCCUUAGAUGUCCGGGGCUGCACAAACGCUACACUGAAGGAAUCAGCGUGCUAAAACCAUUGUCGAAAGGCAUUGGUAAACCCAUCAAAAUCCUACGUGAUUGGGAUCGGGAAUUGCAAUUAUUUCCCUUGAACGAGGAAUUCCCAGUAAGUGCGGGUCAUAAGCUCGCGUUGAUUACGUCCCUGCCCUUUGUACACACCGCCCGUCGCUGCCCGGGACUGAGCCGUUUCGAGAAAAGCGGGGACCGCCGCCUUCGGGGCUUUCGGGCCUUGGCUGUGGUGGAAACCGCUUUAAUCGCAGUGGCUUGAACCGGGCAAAAGUCGUAACAAGGUUUCCGUAGGUGAACCUGCGGAAGGAUC
This 602-nucleotide ribosomal RNA is filed under the name uncultured eukaryote. RNAcentral's name for it is "SSU rRNA". It matches the Rfam family "Eukaryotic small subunit ribosomal RNA", at positions 1203 to 1827 of the family's 1831-position model. The record is from RNAcentral.